RNAcentral lists this ribosomal RNA (721 nucleotides) under Escherichia sp. RNAcentral's name for it is "bacterial SSU rRNA". It matches the Rfam family "Bacterial small subunit ribosomal RNA", at positions 731 to 1453 of the family's 1533-position model. The record is from RNAcentral. Lineage: Bacteria; Pseudomonadati; Pseudomonadota; Gammaproteobacteria; Enterobacterales; Enterobacteriaceae.
GGACAAAGACUGACGCUCCAGGUGCGAAAGCGUGGGGAGCAAACAGGAUUAGAUACCUGGUAGUCCACGCCGUAAACGAUGUCGACUUGGAGGUUGUGCCCUUGAGGCGUGGCUUCCGGAGCUAACGCGUUAAGUCGACCGCCUGGGGAGUACGGCCGCAAGGUUAAAACUCAAAUGAAUUGACGGGGGCCCGCACAAGCGGUGGAGCAUGUGGUUUAAUUCGAUGCAACGCGAAGAACCUUACCUGGUCUUGACAUCCACAGAACUUUCCAGAGAUGGAUUGGUGCCUUCGGGAACUGUGAGACAGGUGCUGCAUGGCUGUCGUCAGCUCGUGUUGUGAAAUGUUGGGUUAAGUCCCGCAACGAGCGCAACCCUUAUCCUUUGUUGCCAGCGGUCCGGCCGGGAACUCAAAGGAGACUGCCAGUGAUAAACUGGAGGAAGGUGGGGAUGACGUCAAGUCAUCAUGGCCCUUACGACCAGGGCUACACACGUGCUACAAUGGCGCAUACAAAGAGAAGCGAACUCGCGAGAGCAAGCGGACCUCAUAAAGUGCGUCGUAGUCCGGAUUGGAGUCUGCAACUCGACUCCAUGAAGUCGGAAUCGCUAGUAAUCGUGGAUCAGAAUGCCACGGUGAAUACGUUCCCGGGCCUUGUACACACCGCCCGUCACACCUUGGGCGUGGGUCCAAAAGAAGUAGGUAGCUUAACCUUCGGGCGGGCGC